UAAAGACGAAGAUUCUAUCACAGAUAAUACUGCAGCGAUAUGCAACAAAAAUGGAUUCGGUCAAAGUCUUUUAAUCACAUCACUAUUUCACUUCAUGUGAGCUGCAGAUCUUUAACAUUAAUACUCAAUUCUGUAAUCCAAGUAUAUUGCUUAGUUAACAAAAGUAAAUUCUUACAUGUAUAUUAAAGUUUUAAAGACGCACUUUUAAUUUACAGAUGUAAAAAUUAAACAAGCAUGAAUAUAUCAUUUGCAUAAUAUGAACAAUUAUAUUAGAAAAAAGAGAUAACAUUUAUAUAAA
RNAcentral lists this long non-coding RNA (298 nucleotides) under Mytilus galloprovincialis (Mediterranean mussel). Lineage: Eukaryota; Metazoa; Mollusca; Bivalvia; Mytilida; Mytilidae. The record is from RNAcentral.